RNAcentral lists this ribosomal RNA (494 nucleotides) under uncultured bacterium. Its description in RNAcentral is "partial 16S ribosomal RNA". It matches the Rfam family "Bacterial small subunit ribosomal RNA", at positions 28 to 507 of the family's 1533-position model. The record is from RNAcentral.
GACGAACGCUGGCGGCGUGCUUAACACAUGCAAGUCGAACGGAAAGGCCUGCUUUCCCUUGUGGUUUGCGGGUACUCGAGUGGCGAACGGGUGAGUAACACGUGAGUGAUCUGCCCCCAACUUGGGUAUAAGCCUGGGAAACUGGGUCUAAUUCCCGAUAGGACUGCAGGGUGGUGCCUGUGGUGGAAAACGAUUUUCUAGUGGUUGGGGAUGAGCUCGCGGCCUAUCAGCUUGUUGGUGGGGUAAUGGCCUACCAAGGCGGGGACGGGUAGCCUGCCUGGGAGGGUGGACGGGCACAUUGGGACUGAGAUACGGCCCAGACUCCUACGGGAGGCAGCAGUGGGGAAUAUUGCACCAUGGGCGGAAGCCUGAUGCAGCGACGCCGCGUGGGGGAUGACGGCCUUCGGGUGGUAAACUCCUUUCGACCGCGAGGAAGCCACCUGGUUGGAAGGGUGGUGACGGUAGUGGUAGAAGAAGCACCGGCUAACUACGUG